AAGGAGGUUCUAGGACCUUGGUUUCCAAAUAAAAUACAAAACUUGCGCUCAUCUAAGAAAAAAGACUUUUGACCACUGGACAACAGUCCAGUUCUUCUCCUUAACCCAGGUGUACACCUAGUCCCCAGGCUGAUGCCAGAGUUAAAAGCAAACAGGACGUCAGGUGUGCAGACAAACCGGAGGCAAGUGCUGCAUUUUAAACAGCCUGGCAGCCUCCUCACCUGCUGAUCUUCAAAGAGUUUGAUGAUGAAUGAGUCCUGCGAACAAAAUAUUCAAGGUGUGUGAGAGCAGCAUACCGAUCUAUACCACAGUUCUUUGAGAGGGACAUGAUAUUUACCAUUUGACUUUGAUCUGCAUAAUUGCGGAUGGUUUGUGUUUCUGUGGCACAUUUUAAAAUAGUGCUCCUUUUCUGAAAGGCAGUUUCUGAAGAACUCUACAGAAAAUGGGUUUACCUCAGGCUGGUAGAACUCCUGUGAAAUGCUAUUGCUGUGUUCCAUUCAAAAUCGAUUGGGGAUAUUCCUACUUGAUAUCUUCAACUUCCCACGAUAAGGCAUCUGAUUCUUAGAAGAUUACAUAUAAGGAAACACAAUGGAAUCACUGCUAUUACCACUGCAGGAGUGUGAUUGUCAAUGAAUAAGUUGUCUAGCAACUAAAUUAUGAAGGAUAAACAAUGCUACUCAUUGCAAACAUCUGUUCUGAAGGUGUAUAAAUAUCAACAUACGGUAGCUAGUGUUUACACACCUGUCUCUUUAAAUAUUAAUGGAUGAACUGAUAUUAAUGUUAUGAUGUACAGAAGCAGCGACAAAUCCUAUCUUCAGUAUUGUGACAAACAUCUGAGUGAAACUGACAAUAAAAAAUAACAAAAUUA
This is a long non-coding RNA of Carassius auratus (goldfish), 868 nucleotides long. RefSeq lists it as uncharacterized. The transcript has 2 exons. The record is from RefSeq and is a predicted model, not a curated record. NCBI's taxonomy places the organism in Eukaryota, Metazoa, Chordata, Actinopteri, Cypriniformes, Cyprinidae.